Molecule: ribosomal RNA, 330 nt
Filed under: uncultured bacterium
Lineage: Bacteria
Description: bacterial SSU rRNA
Rfam family: Bacterial small subunit ribosomal RNA
Source: RNAcentral
UCCGUAGGCGGUGCGGUAAGUUGGGAGUGAAAUCUCUGGGCUUAACUCAGAGGCUGCUUCCAAAACUACCGUGCUCGAGUGCGAGAGAGGCAAGUGGAAUUGCGGGUGUAGCGGUGAAAUGCGUAGAUAUCCGCAGGAACAUCCGAGGCGAAAGCGGCUUGCUGGAUCGCAACUGACGCUGAGGGACGAAAGCUAGGGGAGCAAACAGGAUUAGAUACCCUGGUAGUCCUAGCCCUAAACCAUCAGGACUUGGGGUUUGCCCUGUACGGGGCAAGUCCCGGAGCUAACGCGUUAAGUCCUGCGCCUGGGGAGUACGGUCGCAAGACUGAA